GUAACAAGGUUUCCGUAGGUGAACCUGCGGAAGGAUCAUUAUUG
This 44-nucleotide ribosomal RNA is filed under the name Laccaria laccata. RNAcentral describes it as "partial 18S ribosomal RNA". It matches the Rfam family "Eukaryotic small subunit ribosomal RNA", at positions 1791 to 1831 of the family's 1831-position model. The record is from RNAcentral. Lineage: Eukaryota; Fungi; Basidiomycota; Agaricomycetes; Agaricales; Hydnangiaceae. RNAcentral also lists the same sequence under 18 other names.